This 1311-nucleotide long non-coding RNA is filed under the name Sus scrofa (pig). Its description in RNAcentral is "lncRNA (ENSSSCG00050048148.1)". The record is from RNAcentral. Lineage: Eukaryota; Metazoa; Chordata; Mammalia; Artiodactyla; Suidae.
GUUGGGAGGAUUUGAGAUGGCGAAUGAAAAGACUGGGCCCUUAGCAUGUGCCGGAUGGAGGAGGGUUGGGUCAUGGCCUUCUGCGGGCCAGUUCCUGGAGCCCAGGAACAAAGGGGCACGGGGGCCUCCUGGCAUCACAUCUUGGCCUCCUGUGACUGGGGCCACCCUAGGAUAUUAGCAGACUCAAGCAGAAGCUCGGAGAAACACUUAACUGUUUUCACCUGCACGCUGGUGCCACCGCUGUGCGUCUGUGCAGUGCCUGAGCUGCUGGCCUGAUGGAGGACGGGAGAUGCACGGAGAAGCCCAGUCACCGCGUCCAUCCCAGCAGAAGCACAAGCCCUCGGGAUGGCGAGGCUCCUCCGCCACCGGCUUCCUGUGCGGCUCCGGCGCAGGUCAGCGGGCUCCAGUGAUGCAGGAGGCAUGAACAGAAUCGGCUGCUCAGGCCGAAUUCCUCACGGGGGGCCGAGACAGAGGCGGGUUCAACACAGGGCUAAGGGCCCAUCAACAGCGAAUGCACAGGGUGCUCGGUGCCCACCUCUCUGCCUGCAAGGGCUGCUCUGCAGUUCCGACCGCCUCACCUUCUGCCGCGGGGCGCGCUCCGCGCCGUGGCCCGCAGGGCUGUGCCCUGUCACGAACGGGAGGACCUUUGAAAGGUGGGCGUGCCUGGCAUCUUCCAGCUCCCAAACAGCGGAGGAGCUGGACCUGAACCCCAAACCCCUCCACCGGGAUGGCGAGCACGCAACAGACGUGGGCCGAGGGUCCCGUGCGGGUGCCAGGAGCCCUGGAAGAGGCAGCCUGAACCUGAGUCUGCGCCCACUUGGGAAGGAAGCUCGGAUUCGUUCAUUUUAUUUUGAUCCGUCCUCCUCCCCACGUGCUGACCUCAUCUCCAGAGGAAGCAGAUGGUCCCAUUCGCACCCACCGAGACCAGGGCUUUCCCAAGAAGCUCGGCGCCCCCAGCUGCGCACAGCCACCUGCAGGAGGGGCUUUCUCCCAGUUCUAAAGCUUCUGCAGUGGCCUUCCUUCGCACUGCUAUUAUUUUCCUUAAAUGUCUGCAGAAAACAAAAAGCUGCUUGGAAACAGCAGUUGCUUGGAAACAGCAGUUCCUUGGAACAAGGGGCAGCGAUGGGUGCCGGACGCCACCCUCCGCGGUUUUCCUUGAAGGGCUCUGCCUCUGGGCGUUACAUUUUCAGACUGUGUCACCCUUGCCUGUCACGUAAGGCAGGUUCCGAGAUGCCAGGACGCGGCCUGGAGGGCUGUGUACCUGUGCCCACCGGGGGGAGAGUCAACUCCACGGGCACAGCCGGUGCUUAA